UGGCUCAGGACGAACGCUGGCGGCGUGCCUAAUACAUGCAAGUCGAGCGAAUCUGAUAAAAGCUUGCUUUUUGAAGAUUAGCGGCGGACGGGUGAGUAACACGUGGGCAACCUGCCUGUAAGACUGGGAUAACUUCGGGAAACCGGAGCUAAUACCGGAUAAUAUAAAGAACCUCCUGGUUCUUUAUUGAAAGAUGGUUUCGGCUAUCACUUACAGAUGGGCCCGCGGCGCAUUAGCUAGUUGGUGAGGUAAUGGCUCACCAAGGCGACGAUGCGUAGCCGACCUGAGAGGGUGAUCGGCCACACUGGGACUGAGACACGGCCCAGACUCCUACGGGAGGCAGCAGUAGGGAAUCUUCCACAAUGGACGAAAGUCUGAUGGAGCAACGCCGCGUGAGCGAUGAAGGCCUUCGGGUCGUAAAGCUCUGUUGUUAGGGAAGAACAAGUACCGGAGUAACUGCCGGUACCUUGACGGUACCUAACCAGAAA
RNAcentral lists this ribosomal RNA (488 nucleotides) under Bacillus sp. K1-41. RNAcentral describes it as "bacterial SSU rRNA". It matches the Rfam family "Bacterial small subunit ribosomal RNA", at positions 20 to 489 of the family's 1533-position model. The record is from RNAcentral. Lineage: Bacteria; Bacillati; Bacillota; Bacilli; Caryophanales; Bacillaceae.